CUUUUAUGGAGAGUUUGAUCCUGGCUCAGGACGAACGCUGGCGGCGUGCCUAAUACAUGCAAGUCGAGCGGUCCCUUCGGGGAUAGCGGCGGACGGGUGAGUAACACGUAGGCAACCUGCCUUCAAGACCGGGAUAACUAUCGGAAAC
This 148-nucleotide ribosomal RNA is filed under the name Paenibacillus whitsoniae. Its description in RNAcentral is "partial 16S ribosomal RNA". It matches the Rfam family "Bacterial small subunit ribosomal RNA", at positions 1 to 157 of the family's 1533-position model. Lineage: Bacteria; Bacillati; Bacillota; Bacilli; Caryophanales; Paenibacillaceae. The record is from RNAcentral.